AUUGAACGCUGGCGGCAGGCCUAACACAUGCAAGUCGAACGAGUGGCGGACGGGUGAGGAAUGUCUGGGAAACUGCCUGAUGGAGGGGGAUAACUACUGGAAACGGUAGCUAAUACCGCAUACCAUCAGAUGUGCGCAGAUGGGAUUAGCUGUUUGGUGGGGUAACGGCUCACAAAGGCGACGAUCCCUAGCUGGUCUGAGAGGAUGAACAGCCACACUGGAACUGAGCCACGGUCCAGACUCCUCCGGGAGGCAGCAGUGGGGAAUAUUGCACAAUGGGCGCAAGCCUGAUGCAGCGAUGCCGCGUGUAUGAAGAAGGCCUUGGGGUGGUAAAGCACUUUCAGCGGGGAGGCGUUACCCGCAGAAGAAGCACCGGCUAACUCCGUGCCAGCAGCCGCGGUAAUUC
Molecule: ribosomal RNA, 406 nt
Filed under: uncultured bacterium
Lineage: Bacteria
Description: partial 16S ribosomal RNA
Rfam family: Bacterial small subunit ribosomal RNA
Source: RNAcentral